AGAGUUUGAUCCUGGCUCAGGAUGAACGCUAGCUACAGGCUUAACACAUGCAAGUCGAGGGGAAACGACAUCGAAAGCUUGCUUUUGAUGGGCGUCGACCGGCGCACGGGUGAGUAACGCGUAUCCAACCUGCCCAUCACUUGGGGAUAACCUUGCGAAAGUAAGACUAAUACCCAAUGAUAUCUCUAGAAGGCAUCUGAAAGAGAUUAAAGAUUUAUCGGUGAUGGAUGGGGAUGCGUCUGAUUAGCUUGUUGGCGGGGUAACGGCCACCAAAGCAACGAUCAGUAGGGGUUCUGAGAGGAAGGCCCCCCANAUUGGAACUGAGACCACGGUCCAAACUCCGUACGGGAGGCA
Molecule: ribosomal RNA, 354 nt
Filed under: uncultured bacterium
Lineage: Bacteria
Description: bacterial SSU rRNA
Rfam family: Bacterial small subunit ribosomal RNA
Source: RNAcentral